AUGGCGGACGACGGCGCUGAGGCGUACGAGGACCUGCUGCCGGUGAUGGCGGGGCGGCUGGGCACGGCGGGGCUGCUGUCGGAGCUGCGGGCCGGGUUCCGGCUGCUGGCCGACCCGGCGCGGGGCGCCAUCACGGCCGAGAGCCUGCGGCGGAGCGCGGGGGCCGUGCUGGGCGUGGAGGGGAUGACGGCCGAGGAGGCGCAGGUGAUGGUGGGCGAGGGCGACCACGACGGCGACGGCGCGCUCAGCGAGCAGGAGUUCUGCGUGCUCAUGGUGCGGCUCAGCCCCGGCAUCAUGGCCGACGCCGAGGGCUGGCUCGAGGAGGCCAUCGCCGACGAGCUGCUCCCGCCGCCGCCGCCGCCCGCGCCGGCCGCCUGA
Molecule: ribosomal RNA, 378 nt
Filed under: Triticum aestivum (bread wheat)
Lineage: Eukaryota; Viridiplantae; Streptophyta; Magnoliopsida; Poales; Poaceae
Description: partial small subunit ribosomal RNA
Source: RNAcentral